GAUACUGGGCGUAAGCGUGCGUAGGCGGUUAGUUAAGUCAGAUGUGAAAUCCCGGGGCUCAMCCUYGGAACUGCAUUUGAAACUGGUVACUAGAGUAUUGUAGAGGGUGGUGGAAUUUCCAGUGUAGCGGUGAAAUGCGUAGAGAUUGGAAGGAACAUCAGUGGCGAAGGCGGCCACCUGGACAAAUACUGACGCUGAGGYACGAAAGCGUGGGGAGCAAACAGGAUUAGAUACCCUGGUAGUCCACGCCGUAAACGAUGUCAACUAGCUGUCUGU
Molecule: ribosomal RNA, 276 nt
Filed under: uncultured bacterium
Lineage: Bacteria
Description: partial 16S ribosomal RNA
Rfam family: Bacterial small subunit ribosomal RNA
Source: RNAcentral